This 422-nucleotide ribosomal RNA is filed under the name uncultured prokaryote. RNAcentral's name for it is "partial 16S ribosomal RNA". It matches the Rfam family "Bacterial small subunit ribosomal RNA", at positions 355 to 774 of the family's 1533-position model. The record is from RNAcentral.
UGAGGAAUAUUGGUCAAUGGGCGGAAGCCUGAACCAGCCAUGCCGCGUGCAGGAAGGAGGCCCUACGGGUUGUAAACUGCUUUUACCCGGGAAGAAACCGCCCCCUGCGGGGGGCGUUGCCGGUACCGGGGGAAAAAGGAUCGGCUAACUCCGUGCCAGCAGCCGCGGUAAUACGGAGGCUCCGGGCGUUAUCCGGAAUUACUGGGUUUAACGGGUGCGUAGGCGGGGCUUUAAGCCGGCGGUGAACUGCAGCGGCUCAACCGCUGGAAUGCCGUUGGGACUGGGGCUCUUGGAUACGGUCGGGGGGGGUGGAACUCGUGGUGUAGCGGUGAAAUGCAUAGAUAGCACGAGGAACGCCGGUAGCGAAGGCAGCUCGCCGGGCCGGUAUUGACGCUGAGGCGCGAAAGCGUGGGGAUCGAACA